ACGGGUGAGUAACGCGUGGGAAUCUACCGUGCCCUGCGGAAUAGCUCCGGGAAACUGGAAUUAAUACCGCAUACGCCCUACGGGGGAAAGAUUUAUCGGGGUAUGAUGAGCCCGCGUUGGAUUAGCUAGUUGGUGGGGUAAAGGCCUACCAAGGCGACGAUCCAUAGCUGGUCUGAGAGGAUGAUCAGCCACAUUGGGACUGAGACACGGCCCAAACUCCUACGGGAGGCAGCAGUGGGGAAUAUUGGACAAUGGGCGCAAGCCUGAUCCAGCCAUGCCGCGUGAGUGAUGAAGGCCUUAGGGUUGUAAGGCUCUUUCACCGGAGAAGAUAAUGACGGUAUCCGGAGAAGAAGCCCCGGCUAACUCCGUGCCAGCAGCCGCGGUAAUACGAAGGGGGCUAGCGUUGUUCGGAAUUACUGGGCGUAAAGCGCACGUAGGCGGAUAUUUAAGUCAGGGGUGAAAUCCCAGAGCUCAACUCUGGAACUGCCUUUGAUACUGGGUAUCUUGAGUAUGGAAGAGGUAAGUGGAAUUGCGAGUGUAGAGGUGAAAUUCGUAGA
Molecule: ribosomal RNA, 557 nt
Filed under: uncultured bacterium
Lineage: Bacteria
Description: bacterial SSU rRNA
Rfam family: Bacterial small subunit ribosomal RNA
Source: RNAcentral